AUUGAGCGCUAGCGGGAUGCUUUACACAUGCAAGUCGAACGGCAGCGCGGACUUCGGUCUGGCGGCGAGUGGCGAACGGGUGAGUAAUGUAUCGGAACGUGCCCAGUAGCGGGGGAUAACUACGCGAAAGCGUAGCUAAUACCGCAUACGCCCUACGGGGGAAAGCAGGGGAUCGUAAGACCUUGCACUAUUGGAGCGGCCGAUAUCGGAUUAGCUAGUUGGUGAGGUAACGGCUCACCAAGGCGACGAUCCGUAGCUGGUUUGAGAGGACGACCAGCCACACUGGGACUGAGACACGGCCCAGACUCCUACGGGAGGCAGCAGUGGGGAAUUUUGGACAAUGGGGGCAACCCUGAUCCAGCCAUCCCGCGUGUGCGAUGAAGGCCUUCGGGUUGUAAAGCACUUUUGGCAGGAAAGAAACGUCGCGGGCUAAUACCCCGUGGAACUGACGGUACCUGCAGAAUAAGCACCGGCUAACUACGU
Molecule: ribosomal RNA, 483 nt
Filed under: uncultured bacterium
Lineage: Bacteria
Description: partial 16S ribosomal RNA
Rfam family: Bacterial small subunit ribosomal RNA
Source: RNAcentral